RNAcentral lists this ribosomal RNA (253 nucleotides) under uncultured bacterium. RNAcentral describes it as "partial 16S ribosomal RNA". It matches the Rfam family "Bacterial small subunit ribosomal RNA", at positions 524 to 776 of the family's 1533-position model. The record is from RNAcentral.
UACGUAGGGGGCAAGCGUUGUCCGGAUUUAUUGGGCGUAAAGAGCGUGUAGGCGGCUUUACAGGUCCGUUGUGAAAACUCGAGGCUCAACCUCGAGACGCCGGUGGAAACCGUAAAGCUAGAGUCCGGAAGAGGAGAGUGGAAUUCCUGGUGUAGCGGUGAAAUGCGCAGAUAUCAGGAGGAACACCAAUGGCGAAGGCAGCUCGCUGGGACGGUACUGACGCUGAGACGCGAAAGCGUGGGGAGCAAACGGG